Molecule: non-coding RNA, 505 nt
Organism: Nicotiana tabacum (common tobacco)
Lineage: Eukaryota; Viridiplantae; Streptophyta; Magnoliopsida; Solanales; Solanaceae
Source: RefSeq, a predicted model, not a curated record
CGAUAUCCACAUAAUUUUCAGGGUCAGAAAUCUUUGGCCUUGGAAACGGCAAUUGGGUUGUGGCAGUUAUUCUUUGCAGAAAUGCAGUGGCCAUUGGUUGAGCAUUGGUGUCAGUUUCUCGAGGACCGGAAUAUGAAGGUUAUCUCACGUGAUGUUUGGCUACAGCUACUGGAAUUUGCAAAGACUGUGGACUCUACAUUAUCAAACUAUGAUGCUGAAGGAGCUUGGCCAUGUCUUCUUGAUGAAUUUGUUGAAUACUUGAUUGAAAAGGGUCAUUGUGCGAAAAAGUCGGAUGAAUGAUUGAAUCCUGGAGUACCGAUGGAGUGCUGUCACUUUCAAUGAUGUGGAAAACACUUUUUUACUUUUUGCUUCCAAGAACAACUCCUUGUACAAAAUAAGUGAGGUAAAGGACCACUUGGAAUUGUAGAUGAGUCUUGCGUGUUACUGUACUAGUCCUCACUGUCGAUUCAAAGUUAUCAUUUCUUGUUUGGAUUUACUUGAUUAA